AAAUAGGUGGUGGCCGAUUAUUCAACCCAGAGGAAAAUCCUGAAAUAGUAUGAAUUCAGAUUGUUGCCUAGAUAUGGAGCCCAAGAAGAGGGGUGAAUUAGGUUUUUUUAAAAUUUUAAAGAUUGAAUUACUCAAGCAAUGUGCCAAAAUGAAGAGUAAAGUGUAUCAACUUGCAAUAGAAAUAAAAUCAAAUACAAAUAAGAAGUAAGCAAGUAAUGAGCACAAAGAACAAAAGAAGAUAGGCAAGCACAACAAAAACAAAGGAUUUAUAGUAGUUCGAUACCAAUCCACUAAAUGGAUAACAAUGGAUUAUACCACGUCGGACACUUCCGACCCUUGCCUUUCAAGCAAGAAUAUUUAUUUUUCGGAUACAAACCAACCUUCAACACUCCGAUUCAGGAUUCAGAUCAACUCAAACGAGUUUUGAAACCUCUCAAAACUCAAACACCCAAAAACUAUUUGAGA
This 465-nucleotide long non-coding RNA is filed under the name Elaeis guineensis (African oil palm). RNAcentral's name for it is "long non-coding RNA (EGUI_LNC066190)". Lineage: Eukaryota; Viridiplantae; Streptophyta; Magnoliopsida; Arecales; Arecaceae. The record is from RNAcentral.